AGCAGUAGCCACGGGAAUACGAAGGGGGCUAGCGUUGUUCGGAUUUACUGGGCGUAAAGGGCGCGUAGGCGGACUGAUAAGUCAGGGGUGAAAUCCCAAGGCUCAACCUUGGAACUACCUUUGAUACUGUUUGUCUUGAGUUCGAGAGAGGUAAGUGGAACUGCGAGUGUAGAGGUGAAAUUCGUAGAUAUUCGCAAGAACACCAGUGGCGAAGGCGGCUUACUGGCUCGAAACUGACGCUGAGGCGCGAAAGCGUGGGGAGCAAACAGGAUUAGAUACCCCCGUAGUCCCUGUCUCUUAUCA
Molecule: ribosomal RNA, 303 nt
Filed under: uncultured bacterium
Lineage: Bacteria
Description: partial 16S ribosomal RNA
Rfam family: Bacterial small subunit ribosomal RNA
Source: RNAcentral